Molecule: long non-coding RNA, 549 nt
Filed under: Gallus gallus (chicken)
Lineage: Eukaryota; Metazoa; Chordata; Aves; Galliformes; Phasianidae
Description: long non-coding RNA NONGGAT004288
Source: RNAcentral
GAACAGUUAACAUGCCAGUUACUGUUUCCUUUUUCAGAAUGAUGGUAUGCUGCAUUUUGAUCUGUGAGGAUAUCAACAAGGAUUAUAAAGCAUGAUAAAGCUUAUUAGCACUUAGAUUAAUGACCAAAGCAAUAAACAAAACGCACAGAGCAGAUCCAUUCUGACAGCUUUUUGUAGGCUGGGAAGUGCUACUUAUUCCAUGGUCUCCUAGAGCAGGAAAGCCCCAGGGCCAGCUACACUUUCAGCCAAAGUCUACUUGUGGAGACCUACAACUGCAUGCUGACCCGUGAAGAAGUUCUCUCUGUUGGAAGGCUGAUGUUUUAAUUUGAUGCCCCAUAAAUCUUCUGUUCUGAGAAGCAGGAAUUAACUUCCUAAUGACUUUUAGAAUAACUUUGUUGUUGUUGUUGUUCUUUCUUUCCCUGUCUGUACAUCACCUUUGAGCAGUAUUAAUCUAAUUAAUUUCCCUGUGAGGAGGACAUCAUCACCCCUGUGAAACUCCUUGCUUAUCACCUCUCUCUGUGUACUAUCUCUACAGUAACAUCUGUGAAA